Molecule: ribosomal RNA, 499 nt
Filed under: uncultured bacterium
Lineage: Bacteria
Description: bacterial SSU rRNA
Rfam family: Bacterial small subunit ribosomal RNA
Source: RNAcentral
GAUGAACGCUAGCGGCAGGCCUAACACAUGCAAGUCGAGGGGUAGGGUUAGCUUGCUAACUUGAGACCGGCGCACGGGUGCGUAACGCGUAUGCAAUCUACCUUGUACAGAGGGAUAGCCCAGAGAAAUUUGGAUUAAUACCUCAUAGUAUCUUUACCUGGCAUCGGGUAAUUAUUAAAGUUCCAACGGUACAAGAUGAGCAUGCGUCCCAUUAGUUAGUUGGUAAGGUAACGGCUUACCAAGACAAUGAUGGGUAGGGGUCCUGAGAGGGAGAUCCCCCACACUGGUACUGAGACACGGACCAGACUCCUACGGGAGGCAGCAGUGAGGAAUAUUGGUCAAUGGACGCAAGUCUGAACCAGCCAUGCCGCGUGCAGGAAGACGGUCCUAUGGAUUGUAAACUGCUUUUAUACAGGAAGAAACAACUCUACGUGUAGAGUCUUGACGGUACUGUAGGAAUAAGGAUCGGCUAACUCCGUGCCAGCAGCCGCGGUAAAGU